This 349-nucleotide unclassified non-coding RNA is filed under the name soil metagenome. Its description in RNAcentral is "partial contains 5.8S ribosomal RNA, internal transcribed spacer 2, and large subunit ribosomal RNA". The stretch from base 2 to 120 matches the Rfam family "5.8S ribosomal RNA", at positions 36 to 154 of the family's 154-position model. The record is from RNAcentral.
UAUGAAGAACGUAGCGAAAUGCGAUACGUAAUGUGAAUUGCAGAAUUCAGUGAAUCAUCGAGUCUUUGAACGCACAUUGCGCCCCCUGGUAUUCCGGGGGGCAUGCCUGUCCGAGCGUCAUUGCUGCCCUCAAGCACGGCUUGUGUGUUGGGCCUCCGCCCCCCGGCUCCCGGGGGGCGGGCCCGAAAGGCAGCGGCGGCACCGCGUCCGGUCCUCGAGCGUAUGGGGCUUCGUCACCCGCUCCGUAGGCCCGGCCGGCGCCCGCCGGCGACCCCCCUCAAUCUUUCCAGGUUGACCUCGGAUCAGGUAGGGAUACCCGCUGAACUUAAGCAUAUCAAUAAGCGGAGGA